UUGUGACACAUGUACACCUUAUCGAUUAUCAAUUGUUGGGGGAGUCUGGUGCCCGCAGCCGCGCGCUUCCAGCUCCAAUCUAGUAUAUUAACGCUGUGGCAUUUAAAAAAAUCGCAUAUGAAAUGAAGGGUAGGUGUGUAAUGAAUACAUUCGUGUAUUUUGUUAUUCUCCACCCCCCCCUCUAAAUUCGAUGGGGAGAAUUAAUUUACUUGUUUUGUGUUUAGACGUCCACUGUGAGAAAAUUAGAGUGUUCAAAGCAGGCAUUUGUUUGUAUAUUUUAGCAUGAAAUAAUCAUGAAUGAUUUUCAUGAUGUUUUUGAUGGUUUUGUCUCAUGAGAAUAAGAUUAAAAGGGACAGGUGGGGGUAUUCAUAUUCAAUAUUCAGAGGUGAAAUUCUCGGAUUUAUGGAAGAUGAACAAGUGCGAAAGCAUUUACCAAGGAUGUUUUCUUUAAUCAAGAACGAAAGAUAGGGGAUCAAAGAGGAUUAUAUACCCUCCUUACUCAUAAAA
This 507-nucleotide ribosomal RNA is filed under the name Blastocystis sp. subtype 3. Its description in RNAcentral is "bacterial SSU rRNA". It matches the Rfam family "Eukaryotic small subunit ribosomal RNA", at positions 512 to 1037 of the family's 1831-position model. Lineage: Eukaryota; Bigyra; Opalinata; Blastocystidae. The record is from RNAcentral.